Molecule: ribosomal RNA, 467 nt
Filed under: uncultured bacterium
Lineage: Bacteria
Description: partial 16S ribosomal RNA
Rfam family: Bacterial small subunit ribosomal RNA
Source: RNAcentral
GAUGAACGCUGGCGGCGUGCUUAACACAUGCAAGUCGAACGGAAAGGCCCAAGCUUGCUUGGGUACUCGAGUGGCGAACGGGUGAGUAUCACGUGGGUGUUCUGCCCUGAACUUCGUGAUAAGCCUGGGAAACUGGGGCUAUUACCGCAUAGGAUCAUUUUUUGGAUGGUGUGGUGGAAAGUAUUACGGUGUGGGUUGAGCUUGGGGACUAUUAGCUUGUUGGUGGGGUAAUGGCAUACCAAGGCGUCGACGGGGAGCAGGCCUGAGAGAGGGUACGGCCAGAUUGGAACUGAACGGCGGGCCAGACUCCUACGGGAGGCAGCAGUGGGGAAUGUUGGACAAUGGGCGCAAGCCUGAUGCAUGGACGUCGUGUGGUCGAUGACGGCCUUUGGGAUGGAAACACCUAUCGGUAGGGACGAGUCGUCUUUGUGACGGUACCUAGACAAGAAGCACCGGCUAACUACGUG